GACGUGACGUAAAGGUACAUUAAAAACCUUUUACGUUCGCUUUCACCAAUAAACGGUUAUUUUAAUAAGCAAAAUACAUUUAUAGCAGACUAAUGCAUCUUAGGUUUUCAUUUAGAAACGAAUAUUUUUAUUGUCGGCAAUGUGAAACGAAAUAUUUCUAGAUGUCGCUUGAUCCCUCCCACUGGAUUACGAUGAUUUGUUUUUAUUCAAAGGCUCAAACUUAUUUCCGUACUGUAACACGACCUUUAACGCACUUCUCACAUUACAUGCAAAUGAAGCUUACAACAGUGCAUAAAUACGUAAUUAGGGGCGACUUCUGUCGACAUUUUUAUAAAUUUUUAUGUUUUUACAAGCCGUGUUUGCGCAUGCAUAAGUACUGGCUGUACAGAAACAGUACCAUGCAUCUUCUUCACAUGAAGAAGGCCUCCCUCUUUUCGCACGAUGAAAUGUGCGAUGGCCUGGGACAUCUGAUGGAAAUACAAAGAAUACUUACUAUUGUCUCGACAACUGUAGCAGAACAUUGCACUAGAAAAUGCACAUCCUUUGAAUCCACUGAACUUUGCUUCUGACGCAUAAAUGUACAUGCAGAGAAAAUCUUUCAGACCGUACCUCUCCAGAACAAGCAGUGAGGUUCUGCAGAGUUGAGAUGGAUGCCACUUUUGUGGUUUGGUUAGCACUGACAGCAAUAAGUGAGAGGUACAUGCGAACAGUGAUUGCGCUCCAGAGCCACUCGGCACCUUCAGGAUUGGCAUUCUCUUCCAAUAGAGGAUAAUCGGUCUCUGUUUCCUGUGAGCCAGUCCUUCCAAAACUUCCUGACUUUUCUACUGUACUGAUCUGGGAGCUGUGUUGGAUGGGUUGUCUUCCUGCAACAAUGUCCAGGCUCAGCUUCCGUUUGUGAGUCUGCCAGGACACGUCCUCUGUCUGUUCAUGAGAACC
Non-coding RNA from Misgurnus anguillicaudatus (oriental weatherfish), 936 nucleotides. The record is from RefSeq and is a predicted model, not a curated record. Lineage: Eukaryota; Metazoa; Chordata; Actinopteri; Cypriniformes; Cobitidae.